UAUCAAUAUUUCCUAUUAAUCGAUCCAAAAUGGAAAAAAGCAUGAAAGCUUAUUUUGUUAUUCUUUUUGUGGUCAUCCUAGUAUUUCAUCCAGGUAUGGUGGUGACAGCUAAAAAAGAGACAACGAAACUAUGUGACAAGAGAAGCAAGACAUGGUCCGGGUUCUGUGAGAUCUCCAAGAAUUGUGAUAAACAAUGUCGAGACUGGGAGGGGGCAGCUCACGGAGCUUGUCAUCGUCAGGGAUUGGGAAUGGCCUGCUUUUGCUACUUCAAUUGUUAGAAUGCUACAGGGCCAAUCAAGAUGAUGCAUCAUGAGUUUUAUAUGUCUACCUGUAACUUGUAUACCUCUCUCUCUAUAUAAACAUAAGUCAUAGAUUUCAAUAAUGUGGUUAUAAUGAAUAAAAAUAAGUGAUGGAUUUGAUGAAUGUGGUGAUAAUGAGUAAAAGUGUUUAUAAUAUAUAAAGUAUCCUUGUUUAAGAUUG
Molecule: long non-coding RNA, 480 nt
Organism: Helianthus annuus (common sunflower)
Lineage: Eukaryota; Viridiplantae; Streptophyta; Magnoliopsida; Asterales; Asteraceae
Exons: 2
Source: RefSeq, a predicted model, not a curated record